This 85-nucleotide non-coding RNA is filed under the name Syntrophobotulus glycolicus. RNAcentral's name for it is "c-di-GMP sequence". It matches the Rfam family "c-di-GMP-I riboswitch aptamer". Rfam says of the family: GEMM was predicted in a large-scale screen for bacterial structured RNA regulatory elements. Genes associated with GEMM are involved in a diverse array of functions, including chemotaxis regulation, signal transduction, secretion and chitin. The record is from RNAcentral. RNAcentral also lists the same sequence under 1 other name. Lineage: Bacteria; Bacillati; Bacillota; Clostridia; Eubacteriales; Desulfitobacteriaceae.
AUAUGAUAAGAGUAAACCUGUCGAAAGACAGGGACACAAAGCCACGGGUCUAAAGUAAUCUAACCAUGAUAGCCGGGUUGCCAUA